UACGUAGGUCCCGAGCGUUGUCCGGAUUUAUUGGGCGUAAAGCGAGCGCAGGUGGUUUAUUAAGUCUGGUGUAAAAGGCAGUGGCUCAACCAUUGUAUGCAUUGGAAACUGGUAGACUUGAGUGCAGGAAAGGAGAGUGGAAUUCCAUGUGUAGCGGUGAAAUGCGUAGAUAUAUGGAGGAACACCGGUGGCGAAAGCGGCUCUCUGGCCUGUAACUGACACUGAGGCUCGAAAGCGUGGGUAGCAAACAGG
RNAcentral lists this ribosomal RNA (252 nucleotides) under uncultured bacterium. RNAcentral's name for it is "partial 16S ribosomal RNA". It matches the Rfam family "Bacterial small subunit ribosomal RNA", at positions 524 to 776 of the family's 1533-position model. The record is from RNAcentral.